UCAGUCGACUCCUACGGGGAGGCAGCAGUGGGGGAAUAUUGCACAAUGGGCGCAAGCCUGAUGCAGCCAUGCCGCGUGUAUGAAGAAGGCCUUCGGGUUGUAAAGUACUUUCAGCAGUGAGGAAGGUGGGGUAUGUUAAUAGCAUACUCAUUUGACGUUAGCUGCAGAAGAAGCACCGGCUAACUCCGUGCCAGCAGCCGCGGUAAUACGGAGGGUGCGAGCGUUAAUCGGAAUUACUGGGCGUAAAGCGCAUGCAGGUGGUUUGUUAAGUCAGAUGUGAAAGACCCGGGGCUCAACCUCGGAAUUGCAUUUGAAACUGGCAAACUAGAGUACUGUAGAGGGGGGUAGGAAUUUCAGGUGUAGCGGUGAAAUGCGUAGAGAUCUGAAGGAAUACCGGUGGCGAAGGCGGCCCCCUGGACAGAUACUGACACUCAGAUGCGAAAGCGUGGGGAGCAAACAGGAUUAGAUACCCUGGUAG
Molecule: ribosomal RNA, 478 nt
Filed under: uncultured bacterium
Lineage: Bacteria
Description: bacterial SSU rRNA
Rfam family: Bacterial small subunit ribosomal RNA
Source: RNAcentral